GGUCAAGGAGACAACAUGAUGGUCCUCAAGGUCCUGUUAGCAGCUCUCCUCUGCAUUUCCCAAGUCGCGGCCACGUGUCCCGAGAGCGAGCAGAUCCACUGCGGAACCAGCGAUCGCUGCACGAGGAUCCGCUACAUCUGCGACGGAGACAACGACUGCGGCGACUAUUCCGACGAGGAGAGCGCCAUCUGCGGGGCUUGGCGCAAUGAGUACUGCGAGCGAGGCUCG
This is a long non-coding RNA of Penaeus monodon (black tiger shrimp), 228 nucleotides long. RefSeq lists it as uncharacterized. NCBI's taxonomy places the organism in Eukaryota, Metazoa, Arthropoda, Malacostraca, Decapoda, Penaeidae. The transcript has 3 exons. The record is from RefSeq and is a predicted model, not a curated record.